UGCAGCGUAACCUAAGUGGUUAAGGUGCUCGCCUCAUAAGCGAGAAUAUGUGGGUUCGACUCCCACCGCUGCAACCA
Molecule: transfer RNA, 77 nt
Filed under: Adonisia turfae CCMR0082
Lineage: Bacteria; Bacillati; Cyanobacteriota
Also listed under: 3 other names
Description: tRNA-Met
Rfam family: tRNA
About the family: Transfer RNA (tRNA) molecules are approximately 80 nucleotides in length.
Source: RNAcentral